This 504-nucleotide ribosomal RNA is filed under the name uncultured bacterium. RNAcentral describes it as "partial 16S ribosomal RNA". It matches the Rfam family "Bacterial small subunit ribosomal RNA", at positions 31 to 523 of the family's 1533-position model. The record is from RNAcentral.
AUGGAACGCUGGCGGCAGGCCUAACACAUGCAAGUCGAACGGUAGCACAGAGAGCUUGCUCUCGGGUGACGAGUGGCGGAUGGGUGAGUAACGUCUGGGAAACUGCCCGAUGGAGGGGGAUAACUACUGGAAACGGUAGCUAAUACCGCAUAACGUCGCAAGACCAAAGUGGGGGACCUUCGGGCCUCACACCAUCGGAUGUGCCCAGAUGGGAUUAGCUAGUAGGUGGGGUAAUGGCUCACCUAGGCGACGAUCCCUAGCUGGUCUGAGAGGAUGACCAGCCACACUGGAACUGAGACACGGGCCAGACUCCUACGGGAGGCAGCAGUGGGGAAUAUUGCACAAUGGGCGCAAGCCUGAUGCAGCCAUGCCGCGUGUAUGAAGAAGGCCUUCGGGUUGUAAAGUACUUUCAGCGGGGAGGAAGGCGGUGAAGUUAAUAACUUCACCGAUUGACGUUACCCACAGAAGAAGCACCGGCUAACUCCGUGCCAGCAGCCGCAGUAA